Rattus rattus (black rat) is the source of this 3350-nucleotide long non-coding RNA. RefSeq lists it as uncharacterized. The transcript has 3 exons. Lineage: Eukaryota; Metazoa; Chordata; Mammalia; Rodentia; Muridae. The record is from RefSeq and is a predicted model, not a curated record.
UAGAGUUCUAUCCCAUAUACAAGCUCAUCAAAAUGUGUCAGUGAACAUAGUAAGAUUACAGUGUCUAUAGAAAGUGCUUUUCUUCUCAUAACCUGUGUUUUUUUCCCCUCCAGAAUGGACUCACAAUGGCUUUUGUAAUCAAUAUCCAAUGGUACAGGUUCUAAGAUUUUCUAUUGGGAACACAGGACACCUAGACCGAGGACCAAUGGCUCCCGCCAGCUUUAAACAUGGGCCCGUGCUCACACACUCAGUAUCUUCCCUUUGUGCUGUGUGAGUAAUAUUCCAGAUUUUUCUGUCUUGUUUUGCUCAACGGUAUGUUCUAUACUUUUAUAGAGUAUACAAUAUAUUGAGACAAGGAUGUCAUCCUGUUGAACGAAGCGCAACCAUUCUUUGUCAUGUUAAAUUGUUCACGAACGGAUGUGUUCAUCAUCAAACAUGCAUGUAUCAUUGGAUAAGAAGAGGUAUAAUACGGGCCAAUGAUGACAAGGUUUUGGUGUUAUUAGUCACAGACGAUGACUACAUCUCUAGCAGUCUGAGGUCCACAGCAUAAGAUGCCUCAUAUUACCCUCUCAUGCAGGGGUUUCAAGUCAGGCAUGUGCAACAUAUAUUAGACAUUAUCCAUGCACUCUCAUCAUCUCAUAGUGCAUCAUUUAAUCAGGACAGAAAUCUAUAUACUGAUAAGUUAUUUAAGGUAUUGAUCAAUCCUGAUCAUAAAUAUUUGGCCUUCCAUGAUACUGAUACACACAGAAAAUCCACUUAGAAUGACUUGUGUAUAAGCUUAUAUAAACCUUUAUUGAAGGUUAUUUAUAUGGUACAAUUUAUGACUUAAUUCUUUGUGAUGGUCAAUGCCUUAAUUUUCAAUUCUUAAAAAUUAUCAAAAUUAUUCUUUUUUUUUUACUUGAUUUCUUAAGAAAACUAUCAGAACAAUUUUGACUCUGAAACAGUGGAAGGAGAAAUGUAAGAAUAAAUGGACAAAAUAAUCAAUCUCUUUAUUAUCUUUGCUCUUUUGUACUCCCUGGAUGGGUGCUGACUGACCAAUGAUUUCCUGCCUGGGAGGUCGAUGGUUGCCCUAACACCAUGGGGAUGGAGCUCAGUGGUGCUGUAAGUAAAGCCAAAGAUCUGACCUUGGCUUGAUUGUCUUUGCUAAGACACUCCUGUCUUGGUAAAUUCUUGCAUCGCCACCUUUCAGAUGUAUUAAUAGUUAGAUAAUAGUUAGGGACUACAAAUACGGAGGAAGGAGAUGGUCAGUGUUGGGUGAGGGAUUACCACUGAUGAUGUAUGAUCCUUUGAUCAGGAAGAUAGGUCUGCGAUUCUCAGGUCCACACUAGAACAUAUGUUAUCUUGAUCUUUAUAUUCAUGAAUUUUCAUUUUUGUUUUUUGUUUUUUAAUCUAGGCUAAAAUAUAGCAAAGCAGGACAUAGCCAUCUCAAAUUAUGAAAAUAAUUUCAGUGUACACAAACAGUAUACGCAUCAAAAUUUGGAAGAUCAUUUUAAAUAAGGGGACCUGAUCUGUGUGCAAUUUAAAAUGGCGGUCGAAUUCUUAAAGUGGCUGACCACUUCUCAUGGGAGAUUUGUAGGGCUUGUGGUAGAUGAUAACCAUAGUGGUAUAUGAAUCAAGGACCAUGACUAAUGGUCUGUUCAUUAGGAGGUACACAUCUUGAAGCCUGUGGUUCAUGGUUCAGGUUCCUUGCAAAGUUGCUAGGUCUACUCAUGAAUGUCUGUGUUAAUUAGUAUUGCUAUAUUUCUUUCCCAAGGCUGCUGAGGGGUCAUGGCACGGAUAACCCCAGGUUACAUCCGCUGUUAUUUGUUAACAGGAAAAGAAAUACAGUACAAAUUCUACAAAUAUGUACAAAAUACCUUCUGUAGAGGAUCUAUCGAUGGGAUUGGUAUAAUGUUUGACUGAAACUUGGGAGAUGCAAAUAUUUUUCAAAAUGUUCAGCCUACCUAUCAUCAAAUAAAGUCAGGGAGGAAUUGAAGGGAUAAACCCGGAGGUAGUAACUGAAGCAGUGACCACGGAGGAGUCCUCCCUGUUCUUCAUAUUUACUUAGGUUAUUUUUUAUAGUCCCUCAAGAACAUUGAACACACACCAGAUCCCGGCAAGCACUUGUAUCUUAGGUGCAUUCCAAAAUAUAUCCAAAUAUUCCAAAAAUAUAUCUAGAAAAUAGAUGUUUCCAAAGGGUGGUUUGCAUUAUUUUUUGGUUUGAAGGUCCAUGUGUCCUGAACAUAAUGAUUAAUUUUAUGUAAUUAAUUCAUGCAUUCAUAUAUAUAUAUUGUAUAAUUUAAUAGAGUAAAUGUAGGUUGCACUUUGAUCAGCAAUUACCUUCGGUGUCAUUUGAGUUGUUAUCAUUACUACUGUUCUGGAUAUCUAAUGUCAAUCUCAUAGAGUAUCUAUCUACAAGAUUUAUCUUAAUGACAAAUUCGAGAAAUAAUCUACUUUUAUAUUUAGGCAAAAGCAUUAGCAGAAGUAAAUUGGUAAGGCACUUAGAAAAAUAAUUCCAAAGACUAGAGGGAUACCUCAGUGGAAAGUGGAAGUUGCUCUCCUUGCAUAAGAUCUGCAUUGGGUUUUAUCCUCAAUUUGGCAGCUUACUACUAUGUGGAACUUUACUUCAGGGGGAUCUCUUACCAUCAUCUGAUUUUUGUAAAUGCCACAUACAUGUGUCACAAAUACACAUAUGCAGAUAAAAAAUACUCAAACAGAUAAAAUAAAAAUAAAACAAAUUCCAGAGUAAUGUGCUAUUAAUGAAGACAGAAUGAAUGAGGAGUCCCAGUGAAGUAAAAGUAUAAGCAACCUUUUUUGUGUGUAUGGUCCGAACUAUGUGUCAUGUUUCUAUUCUUAGUAUAAUAUUUAAUAGUGUCAGAUCCACAUAGAUGAUUGAGAAGAGAUAAGCUCGUGCUCAAGUGCAUGAAUGAAGGAAAAAAUGUUCAUUUUCUUUUGUUGAUCUCUUUUCUUUUGUACUAUUAGAAUGCAUCCUGCCAUGAAGAUGACUUUUACAUUGUCCUUUGAUCCUGAGAAUCACAAUAAGCUGUUGAAGAUUUUAAAAUGAACUCAGUAAUGGAUACCUCCAAAGUGAUUUACAUGUUCUUCCUCAGUCUUGAGGAUUGGGAUUCCAAGUAUGGGUCUGCAGAAUUGAGACAGUGUGAGUUUAACCUAUGAUCUUCUUUAGGAUUUAUUUGGCAUUUAAUCACAGUUACCAUACCAUGUUAUUAUAUUGGAACAGUGGGUGUAGCCAAAGGUUUAAUAUGGCAUGGAUAUGAUAUACAAUGUUCAAUAAAAUAAUAAAAAAUUAACCAUGUGCUAAGAUGGAGAUAGUCAUCAUUGCAAAAGAUCCUGUGGAGGUUUAAAGUAUACUC